This is a transfer RNA of Camelus ferus (Wild Bactrian camel), 74 nucleotides long. It matches the Rfam family "tRNA". From Rfam's summary of the family: Transfer RNA (tRNA) molecules are approximately 80 nucleotides in length. Their secondary structure includes four short double-helical elements and three loops (D, anti-codon, and T loops). NCBI's taxonomy places the organism in Eukaryota, Metazoa, Chordata, Mammalia, Artiodactyla, Camelidae. The record is from Rfam.
GAGGGUAUAGCUCAAAUGGUAGAGCGCAUGCUUAGCAUGCAUGAGGUCCUGGGGUUCAAUCCCCAGUGUCUCCU